UGGUACUCUAUGAUUUCAAAAAAGAAGUCAGAAGCAGAUUUCUCAUCAUAGCCCCCCACCCUGACCAAAAGUAACAGAAGGUAGAUCUCUGCUGUUCUCCCCUUCACUCUUAGUCCAGCAAAAGAAAAAGGAUGAAAGAAUGCACAGAACACAAAUCCUACAAAAUUUUACCAAAGCACAUAUGACAUAAAAAUAACCUUCCUCUCACAUUUUUUAAGUGCAUCAAAAAGAAGGUUCACAGUAAUAAUAUCAAGAAUUGAGGCAAUGUUUAGAAGUUAUAAUAGUAAGAGCUCUAGAAAUAGAUGUAUCUUUCCCAUAAAAAUGUGUUAAUUAUUUCUCCAGUUCUUCAGCUUUGUGUCCCUGGUGCCGUCAGCCUCAGCACCUGAUGGACUCUGCUUGGGCUGAGCAAUGAAUUUGAGUCUGAACUUGCAGAUCACCAGCAAUGUGAUUUCUCCCUUAAGCAUCCCCCUCCAACUCAGAGUGAAAGCCAAAGUCCCUUCUGUGGCCUAAGGAUCUAGACUAUCUUAUCAUUAUCUAACAUAUAUUUUACUUGUGCAUUUUGUUUGCUAUUUAUCUGCCUUUGCUAAAACCUAAACUCUUUCAUGGCAGGGAUUUUUGUCUGCUUGUUCAUUGCUAUUAUCCCAGUUCCACACAGUGACUGGUCCAUGGUAUGUGCCCACUAAGUACUAUUGGGUUAUUGGAGACCCGAGGAGGAGGAGAGGGAAGAAAUGUGGGGGCAUUUGACAAGAAAAUGAUAGAUUCUGCUUUGGGAGAGCGUCUCUGGAAACUUCUUGACUCACUUCUGAGAUUAAGCAGCCACAAGCAGCUCUUUAUCUUCUAAUUUUGCCUAAGACAUCCACACAGCCCACAAUGGGCAUCCCCUCCCCUGCGUUAAUCAUUGUUUCCCGUCUCUCUUCUGCAUUUUAAACUAAAGCAGAGGGUAGGAAGGCAGAUGAGCUGAGCAUCUGGGCUAGAUAGGAACCUAUAGUACAGCCCUGCACCAGCUGAUGCCAAUAACUUUUUCUUUGCUCUAUAUCUUUUGUCUCAUAACUUCCUAAACAUCAUCAGUCAUCAGUUAUCUUCGCUGCAGUAAAAUAUGUAUGUGUUUCUUUGUAUUGCAGUCCUAGGUGCUCUGUUAUGGUAGGAAUCAAUAAGAUGUCUCCUGUUCUUAUCAAAAAAAAAAAAAAAAAAAAA
RNAcentral lists this long non-coding RNA (1194 nucleotides) under Macaca fascicularis (crab-eating macaque). Its description in RNAcentral is "lncRNA (ENSMFAG00000057124.1)". Lineage: Eukaryota; Metazoa; Chordata; Mammalia; Primates; Cercopithecidae. The record is from RNAcentral.